RNAcentral lists this ribosomal RNA (1490 nucleotides) under Ryvardenia campyla. RNAcentral's name for it is "eukaryotic LSU rRNA". The stretch from base 535 to 1490 matches the Rfam family "Eukaryotic large subunit ribosomal RNA", at positions 1 to 931 of the family's 3401-position model. The record is from RNAcentral. Lineage: Eukaryota; Fungi; Basidiomycota; Agaricomycetes; Polyporales; Laricifomitaceae.
CUGCGGAAGGAUCAUUAAUGAAAUAUAGAAAGGAGCUGUCGCUGGCCCUCGGGCAUGUGCACGCUCCCUUCGUUCCAAUUUCAACCCCUGAUGCAUCUUUUGUAGGGAGGUGCUCACGCGCCGACCUAUGUCAUUACAAACCCUGAUAGUAUACAGAAUGUCUUAUGCAUAACGCAUUUUAAUACAACUUUCAGCAACGGAUCUCUUGGCUCUCGCAUCGAUGAAGAACGCAGCGAAAUGCGAUAAGUAAUGUGAAUUGCAGAAUUCAGUGAAUCAUCGAAUCUUUGAACGCACCUUGCGCUCCUUGGUAUUCCGAGGAGCAUGCCUGUUUGAGUGUCAUGGAACCAUCAACUUUGAAAGAGUUUUUUCUCUUUCGAGGCUUGGAUAUUGGGAGCUUGCUGGCUGCGGUCGGCUCUCCUUGAAUAAAUUAGCUGCAUCUCACAAAAGUCCAGCUGCACGGUGUGAUAAUUAUCUGCAUCGUCUUGAGCUUUUGGCGGGUCGGCUUCCAAUUGUCUUUGUGACAUUUUUGACCUCUGACCUCAAAUCAGGUAGGAUUACCCGCUGAACUUAAGCAUAUCAAUAAGCGGAGGAAAAGAAACUAACAAGGAUUCCCCUAGUAACUGCGAGUGAAGCGGGAAAAGCUCAAAUUUAAAAUCUGGCGGUCUCUGGCCGUCCGAGUUGUAGUCUGGAGAAGUGCUUUCCGCGCUGGACCGUGUACAAGUCCCUUGGAACAGGGCGUCAUAGAGGGUGAGAAUCCCGUCUCUGACACGGACUACCAGUGCUUUGUGAUGCGCUCUCGAAGAGUCGAGUUGUUUGGGAAUGCAGCUCAAAAUGGGUGGUAAAUUCCAUCUAAAGCUAAAUAUUGGCGAGAGACCGAUAGCGAACAAGUACCGUGAGGGAAAGAUGAAAAGCACUUUGGAAAGAGAGUUAAACAGUACGUGAAAUUGCUGAAAGGGAAACGCUUGAAGUCAGUCGCGUUGGCCGGAACUCAGCCUUGCUUGAUUGCUCGGUGCACUUUCCGGUCGACGGGCCAGCAUCGAUUUUGAUUGUUGGAAAAAGGCCGGGGGAAUGUGGCACCUUCGGGUGUGUUAUAGCCCUUGGUCACAUACGACGGUUGGGAUCGAGGAACUCAGCACGCCUCUUGAUUGAGGUCGGGGCUUCGGCCCACGUUUACGUGCUUAGGAUGCUGGCGUAAUGGCUUUAAACGACCCGUCUUGAAACACGGACCAAGGAGUCUAACCUGUGCGCGAGUGUUUGGGUGGAAAACCCGAGCGCGUAAUGAAAGUGAAAGUUGAGAUCCCUGUCGCGGGGAGCAUCGACGCCCGGACCAGACCUUUUUGUGACGGAUCCGCGGUAGAGCGUAUACGUUGGGACCCGAAAGAUGGUGAACUAUGCCUGAAUAGGGUGAAGCCAGAGGAAACUCUGGUGGAGGCUCGUAGCGAUUCUGACGUGCAAAUCGAUCGUCAAAUUUGGGUAUAGGGGCGAAAGAC